RNAcentral lists this ribosomal RNA (504 nucleotides) under uncultured bacterium. RNAcentral describes it as "partial 16S ribosomal RNA". It matches the Rfam family "Bacterial small subunit ribosomal RNA", at positions 29 to 523 of the family's 1533-position model. The record is from RNAcentral.
AGUGAACGCUGGCGGCGUGCUUAACACAUGCAAGUCGAACGGUAGCACAGAGAGCUUGCUCUCGGGUGACGAGUGGCGGACGGGUGAGUAACGUCUGGGAAACUGCCCGAUGGAGGGGGAUAACUACUGGAAACGGUAGCUAAUACCGCAUAACGUCGCAAGACCAAAGUGGGGGACCUUCGGGCCUCACACCAUCGGAUGUGCCCAGAUGGGAUUAGCUAGUAGGUGGGGUAAUGGCUCACCUAGGCGACGAUCCCUAGCUGGUCUGAGAGGAUGACCAGCCACACUGGAACUGAGGCGCGGUCCAGACUCCUACGGGAGGCAGCAGUGGGGAAUAUUGCACAAUGGGCGCAAGCCUGAUGCAGCCAUGCCGCGUGUAUGAAGAAGGCCUUCGGGUUGUAAAGUACUUUCAGCGGGGAGGAAGGCGGUGGAGUUAAUAACUUCACCGAUUGACGUUACCCGCAGAAGAAGCACCGGCUAACUCCGUGCCAGCAGCCGCGGUAA